GACCUCAAAUCAGGUAGGAACACCCGCUGAACUUAAGCAUAUCAAUAAGCGGAGGAAAAGAAAAUAACAAUGAUUCCCCUAGUAACUGCGAGUGAAGAGGGACAAGCUCAAAUUUUAAAUCUGUCGGGUUUACUGAUCGAGUUGUAAUUUGAAGAAGCGUUUUCUGCGUAUUUGGUCAGCCCAAGUCCUAUUGAAUGAGGCAUCAUGGAGGGUGAUAAUCCCGUCCGGUUGAUCAUUGCGUUUUAUGAUACGCUUUCUAAGAGUCAAGUUGUUUGGGAUUGCAGCUUAAAAUGGGAGGUAAAUUUCUCCUAAGGCUAAAUAACGGCGAGAGACCGAUAGCGAACAAGUACCGUGAGGGAAAGAUGAAAAGAACUUUGAAAAGAGAGUUAAACAGUACGUGAAAUUGUUGAAAGGGAAACGAUUGAAGCCAGUCGUACCUAUGGGUAAUCAGCCUUUUGGGUGUGAUUUUGUGGAGCGUGAAGAGUUAAACGCCUUCAUGCCUGCAUAUUCGUGCACUUUGGGUGUACUUGCCCGUGUGUAAGUUAACAUCAAUUUUGGUGGUCAUAAAAUGGCUGGAGGAAUGUAGCUUCGAUCUUGUAUUGAAGUGUUAUAGCCUUCGGUAGAUGUGACGAUCGGGAUUGAGGAUUGCAACGGAUACCCUUCGGGGCUACCUGUCUGAUCUCUGAUUGUUGCUCUGGUACCGAAAGCUUGCUUACGGUUAUCAAAGUCGAUGGUCAAUAGGUUAGAACGGGUUAAAUUCGUUAAGGAUGUWGACGUAAUGGCUYUAAACGACCCGUCUUGAAACACGGACCAAGGAGUCUAACAUAUAUGSGAGUGUUAGGGUGAUUAAACC
RNAcentral lists this ribosomal RNA (853 nucleotides) under Rhizophagus irregularis. RNAcentral's name for it is "eukaryotic LSU rRNA". It matches the Rfam family "Eukaryotic large subunit ribosomal RNA", at positions 1 to 708 of the family's 3401-position model. Lineage: Eukaryota; Fungi; Glomeromycota; Glomeromycetes; Glomerales; Glomeraceae. The record is from RNAcentral.